UUAUUCCAGCUAAAAUAACUCGUUUAUUAAAGUAUUUUGGAAUGCCGAGGCUUAUAGCCUCAAUGACAUCUGGAAUGAAAAUGAGAAAUUUGAAUAGAAAAAUGAGAAUACCUGUAUUGGUAUAUAUAAAACGAUAAUGAUGAAUGUUCGAAUUUAUUAAUAAUAAUAAUAGUAAUAAUUCCUACAUGAAUUUCUUUCUUUUCACCUCAACAACAGACCAAUUUGAACAUAUGGAGCACAGAAAAAAAUGAAAAUUCAUCAAAAUCUAAUUUUAAAUAAGAAUGUUGAUAAAAACAGAUUAAAAACUUGAACAUACAUCAAUUAAUAACAGUUUGAAAAUUGUAACAUCACCCGCAAACAGGUGCCCCACAUGUUUAGUAGUAUAAAUUUCAUAAAUUGUGAUUUUCAAUGCUUUAUUGUAACUGAAAAAAUUCUUCAUGGCUAGCAACAGAUAUCAAAAAAACAUUUUUAUAAUCUGUGCUGUAGAUUGGUAGAUCCAUGGAGCUAUAAAACAGAUAGAUCUGUGCUGUAGAAAUGGGGUUAUGGCAUGUACUGGCCUGUAAUCCAAGCUAUGUUGGGUAGUUACAAAAUGAUGCAGAGGUUUGAGCCCUGGACACAUAUUUUGGAUGGUGACGUUAAAGGUCGGUCACAUAUAUGAAUAAUCAUUCCUCAUUAGUACAUGUCUGACAAAACUCAAUCCUUUCAUUUACCUCGGUAUUGUAUUCAUUUUUUUUUUCAUUCUCACUAGGGAUCUGCCAAGUCUCGUCAUUCAGCAACAACCAAGAGACAUCGUAAGAAAUGGGAUGCUACUAGAUCCCUGAGGUAUAAUCAAGACACACAGAGAGAAGAAGAUCAACUGAGAGGUAAUUUUCUAGUUCAACAUCUUCUUAAGAUGAGAACUCCACUGGCUGAUAAGCAGCAGGAGAAGACCAAAGCCAAGGAGUAUGCUGGAGGGAUGUUUAGUAGAGUUGAUGCCCAGUUCAGGGCCAGCCAACAAGUCACCAAACCAGUAACCCUGCAACCUGUAUCAAGGACCAAAAGUCGCAGCAUCUCCAGUAAACUGCCAUGAGUGGACGAUACAAGAAUCCAUCUUGUCUCCGAAGACGUCAUCUUUUAUCUUCAUUCCGUCCUGGCUGAGUUCAAUGCAAUUUCUCAAUGAAAGCGAUAUACAAAAUGGUGAUGCAAAUUUCCUUAGUCAUUAGUGCUUAGAGACAUGAUGUAAUGAUGUGAUGUAUGUUAUAUCAGGAAAAAACAGACAAUCAGAAAGGGCGAUUUAGGGCUAUAUGAAAUCUCCUAAGUUGCCCUGGUAACUUGCGAGAUAGCCCCCGUAUUAUAAAAUUGUGGUCAAUCCAAAAUGUGAUUUGGUAUGAACAGAAGCAAGAAUUUUCUCUGUGUAGAAAAUAACAUUUGUUACCCUGAAUACAAUACAUCCCAUAACCAUUCUGAUACCAUCUUCUUUUUAGUAAGUUCUAACCAAAUGUUAGAGGCUGUUCUCACUACGUUCCUAAAACUAGUUUACUGGAAACUAGUUUAACGCGUAGUGAGAACGGUCGAAGCGGUCUUGGAAGCGAUCUUCCAAACCAGUUUGGAAAACCACCUCGCGAUGUAGUUUUCAAGAUCGCUUUGCCUCGUUAAACUGGUUUUAGCGUAAGUGAGGACACAACCGUUCUUCGGGAAGCGAUCUUUGCACAUUUUGAGCGCGCUACUCCACACGACAGGUGUAGAAUGCCUAUGCUGCGGUUUCGAAUUUCGCGCGAAACGUGUCACCCCACUGAGAGCGUUUCCACAGCAACAAGAGCGCUUUACGUGAAGUGAUUUUGAAAACCCCUUUCGUUUGAUCAAGUGGGAACGCUAGCAAAGCGAUCUUUCAAAGUGGUUUCCUGAAUCGGUUUCCAGUAAACUAGUUUUAGAAAGCGUAAUGAGAACGGCCUCUUAUACUCACUCAUACGUGAAGUAUGGAUGUUAUAAACUACAUUAAAUGAAAGAUGGUGAUCUAAGCUUGGCAUAUACAUGUCAUCUAUCAUUCAUUGUUGUAAAUUCAUGAAAAAUAAAGUGAUUAUCAGGAUUUUGGGGGUGGGACAUCGUAAAUUGUUCACGAGAAUAGUUGUUUUUAUUGACAGGUUGUCUCUUUACUCUUUUGUAACAAGCACUAAUAUUGGGGUCACAUUUUCUGUUAGCUGUUGAAUACAGAGAUAUUCUUUCUUCAUAAAAGUGUAGGUAGAAAAAAAUUGUUAUUCACCUUUCACAUACAUAAGUCAACACUAUUUCUGUAAUUUGAAUGAUCUGAUUUGAAAAGAAAUAUAAAAAUUUGUCAGAAACAUUAACCAGGGCUUUGAACAUUGUUUUGUUAUUCAUUAGACAGACGCUAGGUGAAAAAAUGCACCUUUAUGGUUCCAUGGAUCCAUGAUGGUUCUUAACUUUCACAUUUUAAGCAUACAAUAAACACGGCAACUUAUAAGCCAUGUAUGAGGCAUACAAGAUAAAUGAACAAGUUUUUUAAGCAAACUAGAUUUUAAUUAUAGUCGUUUGUCACUUGAAUACUUAACCUAUGUUUGUUUCUGGAAUACUGAAUCCUUUUCCUUUAGAAGAUAAUUCCAUGCUAUUGUAAAAGGCUAAGAGUUUUUAUUUGUAAUAUUAUGUAGACUUGUUUACUAACUAAUUCAAAUUUACAGUGCCUCUUUCUAAGGAUCUAAUAUCUAGGAAUUCCAUUGAUCUACUUUCAAUGAAAUGAUUACAUGGUAUCAUGUUUGCAUCCAUCCCCUGUUUCUAUGUCUAAAGUUUAAACAAGUUUAUUGUCUAUGGUAGUGCUUAUUUAUGGAGAAAAUAUUAUUUGAUGUGAUUAGAAAUAUUGAUUUUUCAGUAUUGUCCUUGUAUAUUGCAUAUUUAUGAAUUCAAAUUGUGUUUUUGUAUAGCAUUAUUUAUUGAGCAAUUUUUAUGUUAUAGUUACAAACAUGUAAUAAAUAUGUCAUUUAUUAUCUGGA
Lytechinus pictus (painted urchin) is the source of this 2981-nucleotide long non-coding RNA. RefSeq lists it as uncharacterized. The record is from RefSeq and is a predicted model, not a curated record. Lineage: Eukaryota; Metazoa; Echinodermata; Echinoidea; Temnopleuroida; Toxopneustidae. The transcript has 5 exons.